GGGUCAGUAGGUUGGUCGUGCCACCGGUACGUACUGGUCUCACUGAUUCCUCCUUCCUGAAGAACCGUAAUGCCAUUAAGUUGGUGUUGCGGGGAAACAGGACUGUUACUUUGAAAAAAUUAGAGUGUUUAAAGCAAGCUAACGCUUGAAUACAUUAGCAUGGAAUAAUGAAAUAGGACGAUCGAUCCUAUUUUGUUGGUCUCUAGGAUUGACGUA
RNAcentral lists this ribosomal RNA (216 nucleotides) under Glomeromycotina sp. RNAcentral describes it as "partial small subunit ribosomal RNA". The stretch from base 87 to 216 matches the Rfam family "Eukaryotic small subunit ribosomal RNA", at positions 733 to 864 of the family's 1831-position model. The record is from RNAcentral. Lineage: Eukaryota; Fungi; Glomeromycota.